This 29-nucleotide small nuclear RNA is filed under the name Arabidopsis thaliana (thale cress). Its description in RNAcentral is "snRNA_10297". Lineage: Eukaryota; Viridiplantae; Streptophyta; Magnoliopsida; Brassicales; Brassicaceae. The record is from RNAcentral.
UCCGGAACCGGGACGUGGCGGUUGACGGC